RNAcentral lists this ribosomal RNA (250 nucleotides) under uncultured Pseudomonas sp. Its description in RNAcentral is "partial 16S ribosomal RNA". It matches the Rfam family "Bacterial small subunit ribosomal RNA", at positions 554 to 798 of the family's 1533-position model. The record is from RNAcentral. Lineage: Bacteria; Pseudomonadati; Pseudomonadota; Gammaproteobacteria; Pseudomonadales; Pseudomonadaceae.
GGAUUCUGGGCGUAAGCGCGCGUAGGUGGUUUGUUAAGUUGAAUGUGAAAUCCCCGGGCUCAACCUGGGAACUGCAUCCAAAACUGNCAAGCUAGAGUAUGGUAGAGGGUGGUGGAAUUUCCUGUGUAGCGGUGAAAUGCGUAUAUAUAGGAAGGAACACCAGUGGCGAAGGCGACCACCUGGACUGAUACUGACACUGAGGUGCGAAAGCGUGGGGAGCAAACAGGAUUAGAUACCNUGGGUAGNCCAG